This 1141-nucleotide long non-coding RNA is filed under the name Manduca sexta (tobacco hornworm). Its description in RNAcentral is "uncharacterized LOC119188918". Lineage: Eukaryota; Metazoa; Arthropoda; Insecta; Lepidoptera; Sphingidae. The record is from RNAcentral.
AACCUUAUGUGGUGGGUGUGAGGUCGAAUUUGUGUUUAGUCCAUCAAUACUUAUGAUUUUCUGUUUCAUGUUUUGUUUGAAUUUAUCGACGACGCUAAUUUUUGUUAUCACAUUUGCAAGGAGUUUAGUUCAGCCUUUAGGAUUCGAUACAAGACAACAUAAUGGUGGUCUCGGUGUAUGUACACCUUUGAUGUACACGUAUACACGUGCUAUACCAAAAUAUCUGUAUGAAGCUCCGUCAUGCACCGUCAGUGCUAGCACAACUGAAGCUGCGUUGGAACCAGAACUAACCAAUUGAUCCCAACCGGAUACCGAUGCCUAUCUACUACCUGUGGAAAUGAUUUCUAGUAACAACCUGCAAUUGGUAAUUGGAUAACUGAUUGUGGACUCGAAGCACGAACUUCAGUGGGCAUUUAAUGUGCCAAAACAUACUCGGGUUAUUGUUUCCAAAUUCAAUAUGCCAGUGAAAAACAAAAGGGUUUUCAUAGUCUUUCCACAUUUUAAUGCAGCAUGUGUGAUGAAAUUUGGCACCAUUGUUCUGAAAGGGAUAACACAAACAUAAUAUGCUUUAUGUGGGCAAUCAUAACAGCUUGCAGAUAUUACACGCGAGUGGCUAAUAUGAUAAUCUUUGUGGACUCGCCAAAUAUGGCUGGUAUUAUAUUUCUUGCAAUUGAAAAACGACAAUACAUGGGACAAAUAAUUGACUACGGAAAGAAAGAAACCUGGUGACUAAGAUAGAUUUAUUGCCAGUGUAAAAAGGCUUGAAUUAUCAGCAAUGACAAAAAAGCCUAUUUAUUGGUUUCAAAAAUAAAUACUGUUUCACAAUAGGACAAUAUUAUGAAUUGAAAAGAAUAGAUUUAAACAGACCUAGUUGCUGUAAAAUUACAGAGCCGUUUACGGCAAUGGAAUCUAAAAUAAUAAAUUUCAAGAGUGAAGAAAUGCAUAGUCUCCAUUAUUUAAAUUUUAUUAGAGAUGGAGAUUCUUCUGUGUUUGCUAAUGUGAAAGAAAAAGUACAACAAGGGAACUAAAUAAAAAAAUUGACACCAGUGCACAAGAUUUUAGCUAAUACAAAGCUUCCACACUAUGGAUGAAAUAUUUUUAAACCAAGGUUACUGAAGAACUACUGUGCAAUAAAUUAUUG